CCUUAUCUCACCAAUUAACGCUUUCAAACAGCAUAGACAACAAAAGCUUUGAGUUUUCUUUUUAUUAUUAGUUUUCAUUUCAAUUUUAUAGUUUGUUGAAAUGGUUUAAGGCUUUAAGGAGAGAUUCAAAAUCCUACUCUCCGGGGAAAAGAGAGAGAUAGGCGUACACUUCAAUGGGUCUUUGCACCUCCAAACCCUCCCCAAACCCUUCUGAUUCUACAAAUGCCUCUAUCAAUACCCGGAAUAACGAUAUCUACCGCAAGCCUAACUCUGUUUCGGCUUCUCCUUUACCUGAUGGAGUAAACUCCAAGGAAGAUCAAGGUAAACAAGGAGAAGAAGAAAAAGAAAGCUCCAAUCCCAACAAUGAAGGCAAGAAAUCGCCGUUUUUCCCGUUUUAUAGUCCCAGUCCAGCUCACUACUUGUUUUCCAAAAAGUCUCCUGCGAGAUCUUCAACCAAUUCCACUCCAAAACGGUUUUUCAGGAGGCCAUUCCCUCCGCCGUCUCCGGCGAAGCAUAUUAGGGCAGUGCUUGCGCGGAGGCACGGGUCUGUGAAGCCGAAUGAGGCCGCGAUCCCGGAAGGAAGCGACGCAGAGGCAGCGGGAGCUACCGGUACCGGACUGGAUAAGAGCUUCGGCUUCUCGAAGCACUUCGGGAGCAAAUAUGAGCUCGGAGACGAAGUAGGAAGAGGCCAUUUCGGUUAUACUUGUACGGCGAAGUUUAAGAAAGGAGAGCUUAAAGGACAACAAGUUGCCGUUAAAGUUAUACCUAAAGCGAAGAUGACUACUGCAAUUGCCAUUGAGGAUGUUAGAAGGGAGGUAAAAAUAUUAAGAGCUCUAUCUGGACAUAGCAAUUUAGUACAAUUCUAUGAUGCCUACGAGGACCAUGAUAAUGUCUACAUAGUGAUGGAAUUAUGUGAAGGAGGGGAGCUCUUGGACAGAAUUCUUUCUAGGGGCGGAAAAUACACUGAGGAUGAUGCAAAAGCUGUGAUGAUUCAGAUACUUAACGUUGUUGCUUUUUGCCAUCUCCAGGGUGUUGUGCACCGGGAUCUUAAACCUGAGAAUUUCUUGUUUACAUCAAAGGAUGAAAAUUCACAAUUGAAGGCUAUAGACUUUGGCUUGUCUGAUUUUGUGAAACCGGAUGAAAGGCUUAAUGACAUUGUUGGUAGUGCAUACUAUGUAGCACCAGAAGUUCUACAUAGGUCUUACAGUACAGAAGCAGAUGUCUGGAGCAUAGGUGUGAUUGCUUAUAUUCUUUUGUGUGGUAGUCGUCCAUUUUGGGCUCGAACAGAGUCUGGGAUUUUUCGAGCUGUUCUAAAAGCUGAUCCAAGUUUUGAUGAAGCACCUUGGCCAUCUCUAUCUUCUGAGGCUAGGGAUUUUGUGAAGCGUUUACUGAAUAAGGACCCAAGGAAAAGAUUGACUGCAGCCCAAGCUUUGAGUCAUCCCUGGAUAAAAAAGUAUAACGAUGUGAAAGUGCCCUUGGAUAUACUGAUAUUCAAACUCGUGAAGGCUUAUCUGCGCUCUUCAUCUUUUCGGAAGGCUGCUUUAAGGGCCCUGUCUAAAACUUUGACUGUGGAUGAGCUGUUUUACUUGAAGGAGCAGUUUGCAUUAUUGGAACCAAAUAAAAAUGGCACUAUAAGCUUAGAAAAUAUCAAAGCGGCUCUGAUGAAAAAUGCAACAGAUGCUAUGAAGGAUGCUCGCAUCCCUGAGUUUCUUGCAUCGCUAAAUGCACUUCAAUACAGACGGAUGGACUUUGAUGAGUUCUGUGCAGCUGCAUUAACUGUUCAUCAGCUGGAGGCUCUUGAUCGGUGGGAACAGCAUGCACGUUGUGCUUACGAAAUCUUUGAGAAGGAAGGAAACAGACCUAUUGUCAUUGAAGAGCUAGCUUCGGUAUGUUGAUCUCCCCUGCAAAGUUUUUGCAUCUAUGCCUCAUUCGGAUGAUUAUUUAAUUCCUUUGAGUAGGCUGACAGGAACUCGGACUGAGCCCAUCCGUGCCUGUUCAUGCUGUUCUUCAUGACUGGAUUAGGCACACUGAUGGGAAGCUAAGUUUUCUCGGAUUUGUCAAAUUAUUGCACGGUGUAUCUAGCUGAACCAUCGCAAAAGCUCAAUAGAAGCCGUAAAACUUCGUAAGAGCUCUAAUGAGCUGGUAUGGCUAAUAAAAGGAUCAGGUGAGGUGUUUGCUAGGCUAUAACCUGAAUAUGAUAAAGAGGUAGAGUGAAUUUCGCCGUCGCAAUCAAUGCCCCUACCCCAACCUCUUCGAUUAUGGCUUAUUUCAUUUGUCUAGCACAAGCUUAUUGAACCCCCAAAACAUAAUUGAAGCCAAUGAACCUCCUGCAAGUGCAACUUAACAUUGACCAAGCUUUAGUCAUUUUAUGUUUUUUUUCCCCACUGUAAAGUUGAAAGAAUGUGUUAAAUAUAAAUAUAAAUAUAUAUAUAUAUCUAAACAGACUUGAUAAAUCUGACAUAUUUCGUGAAGCCCCCGUGAGAUCAUUGAUUGCUGAUGUAUCAUCAUCUCCUGUGUUCUAUAACGUGUAUCAAGUAUUCUUGUCCUUAAAAUUCUCUACGUGUCUUUGAACCAAUCUUGAUUGUGUGCUUCCAUAGCUGUUCUUCUAUGGAUUUGAAUUUAAAUGAUUGCCUGAUUUGAUA
RNA transcript from Gossypium raimondii (Peruvian cotton), 2642 nucleotides. It is a transcript of the gene named CDPK-related kinase 5, with no coding region annotated. NCBI's taxonomy places the organism in Eukaryota, Viridiplantae, Streptophyta, Magnoliopsida, Malvales, Malvaceae. The record is from RefSeq and is a predicted model, not a curated record. The transcript has 11 exons.